GGUGGCUCAGUGGUAGAGUGCUUGCUUCGCAUGCAUAAGGCCCUGGGUUCAAUUCCUCAGCACCA
Molecule: transfer RNA, 65 nt
Filed under: Dipodomys ordii (Ord's kangaroo rat)
Lineage: Eukaryota; Metazoa; Chordata; Mammalia; Rodentia; Heteromyidae
Rfam family: tRNA
About the family: Transfer RNA (tRNA) molecules are approximately 80 nucleotides in length. Their secondary structure includes four short double-helical elements and three loops (D, anti-codon, and T loops).
Source: Rfam by way of RNAcentral